GACGAAGGAUGCAAGCGUUAUCCGGAUUCAUUGGGUUUAAAGGGAGCGUAGGUGGUCUUAUAAGUCAGUGGUGAAAUCUCUGGGCUUAACCCAGAAAUUGCCAUUGAUACCGUAGGACUUGAGUAUAGUUGCCGUUGGCGGAAUAUGACAUGUAGUGGUGAAAUACAUAGAGAUGUCAUAGAACACCGAUUGCGAAGGCAGCUAACGAAACUAUAACUGACACUGAGGCUCGAAAGUGCGGGGAUCAAACAGG
Molecule: ribosomal RNA, 253 nt
Filed under: uncultured bacterium
Lineage: Bacteria
Description: partial 16S ribosomal RNA
Rfam family: Bacterial small subunit ribosomal RNA
Source: RNAcentral